GCCUCGCUAGCUCAAUCGGUAGAGCGUGAGACUCUUAAUGUAAUCUCAAGGUUGCGGGUUCGACCCCCGCGUGGGGCU
This 78-nucleotide transfer RNA is filed under the name Morchella rufobrunnea (woodchip morel). Its description in RNAcentral is "tRNA-Lys". It matches the Rfam family "tRNA". Rfam says of the family: Transfer RNA (tRNA) molecules are approximately 80 nucleotides in length. Their secondary structure includes four short double-helical elements and three loops (D, anti-codon, and T loops). Lineage: Eukaryota; Fungi; Ascomycota; Pezizomycetes; Pezizales; Morchellaceae. RNAcentral also lists the same sequence under 4 other names. The record is from RNAcentral.